RNAcentral lists this ribosomal RNA (253 nucleotides) under uncultured bacterium. RNAcentral describes it as "partial 16S ribosomal RNA". It matches the Rfam family "Bacterial small subunit ribosomal RNA", at positions 524 to 776 of the family's 1533-position model. The record is from RNAcentral.
UACGAAGGGGGCUAGCGUUGCUCGGAAUUACUGGGCGUAAAGCGUGCGCAGGCGGCUUUGCAAGUCAGAUGUGAAAUCCCCGGGCUUAACCUGGGAACUGCAUUUGUGACUGCAUGGCUGGAGUGCGGCAGAGGGGGAUGGAAUUCCGCGUGUAGCAGUGAAAUGCGUAGAUAUGCGGAGGAACACCGAUGGCGAAGGCAAUCCCCUGGGCCUGCACUGACGCUCAUGCACGAAAGCGUGGGGAGCAAACAGG